RNAcentral lists this ribosomal RNA (434 nucleotides) under Amphistegina lobifera. RNAcentral describes it as "SSU rRNA". Lineage: Eukaryota; Foraminifera; Rotaliida; Amphisteginidae. The record is from RNAcentral.
GUGGAGCAUGUGGCUUAAUUUGACUCAACGCGGGGAAUCUUACUAGGUCCGGACCGAUUCUAUGAUCGUCGUACUGUGGGGUGCUACGUGAUUACUGGAUGAGUGGUGCAUGGCCGUUCUUAGUUCGUGGUGUUAAUUGUCUACUUAAUUGUUAUCGGUUCUCGUAUCAUGCGAGACCURAUAACGAACGAGAUCGAGACCCGGGGUUGCGUGUGUUUGAAUUCGGUAUUACUACGGGGAUCGCGUAUUACUCCACGGUACGAUCGAAAGACUCGGCAAUAACAGGUCUGUGAUGCCCUCAGAUGUUCUAGGCUGCACACGUGCUACAGUGUGGUUCUGUUCAUAUGUGUAUGCGUAGACUUGAGAUCCCCCGCACCGAGUCAUAAUUGGUCACACGGUUGGGCUCACCGAUUGUCAAUUAUUCGGUAUCUUAA